Piliocolobus tephrosceles (Ugandan red Colobus) is the source of this 560-nucleotide long non-coding RNA. RefSeq lists it as uncharacterized. The record is from RefSeq and is a predicted model, not a curated record. The transcript has 3 exons. Lineage: Eukaryota; Metazoa; Chordata; Mammalia; Primates; Cercopithecidae.
GUACUUAAUGGAGAGGAACAGGAAGAGACCAAAAGCCCUUCUGCUCAUUUUUUAAUUGCUGUGGGUGGAACUUAUUUGGAUUUGGAUUUAAAUAAACUAAAAAGCUUUCUGUUCAAAAUCAGGAGUUUGAGAUAAAUAAAGAUGGAAUCCCGAAAGUGGAUCAGUUUCAUUUGGAUGAUAAAGUCAAAUCCCUCCUCUGUAGCUUGAUAUAUUAUAGAAGUUCAAUGACAGCUGAACAAGUUUUAAAUGCUGAAUGUUUCUUGAUACCAAAGGAGAAAUCAGUUCCAAACCCAGGAAAAAGAUACUGAAUAUACCCCAUAUAAAAAGGAAGAAGAAAUAAAGAUGGAGAACUUGGAUAAAUGUAUGGAGAAGACAAGAAAUAGUGAAGCCAACUUUGAUUGUUAAAUUAUUAUUCUGUUAUUGUUGCAGAUGUUCUUUUUAAAAACUUUGUUUAGUUUGGUUGAUACACAGAAAUAUCUAGAAAUGUUCUGGGACUAGUUGGGUUGUAUCUUUAGUAUUCAGGUUGUGAAAAAUAAAGAUGUUUGGCUAUGCACAAAAUA